AUGCAGUGCCGCGCUCGGUACGGCAGCUCCGGCGAACUUGACGUGUUCGGAGCAACACGCUACUUCGACGGCCUAGCCGACCUUGCUGCCAGCCCGGUCACUGCCAGGCAGCCUGAACCUAAAGACAUGAUGAUCCAAGUGAAAGUUAUGCAUCACCAGAAGGAGGAAAGCUACCGCGGCACCCAGGAGCUGGGAGCCAGGACUAACAGCAACCUCACCGCCUUCCACGGCUCCUCCCUUGUGUCCCCGGCAGCGAGCUUUCACAAGAAUCCUCCGGCAAGCAUCUACGACAAGCCUCAUCACCAGGCCUCCUCGUUAUCCUCGCGUGGGAGCAGUGAUGUUGUCACAGCUGUUGCAGCUGCUUGCGGCCGUGAUUUGGGUGAGGUGGUGGGGGACAGGAGGCUGCAAGGCGUUCAGGUAGUGAGGAGGGCCUGUGACGGCGAGGAGAGGUGGGUGGUAAGAUGCGGCGGGUAUCCCUUGGAAGAGCAGCACCAUGCGUCCAUGAUGUUGAUGCGAAAUUAA
RNAcentral lists this ribosomal RNA (522 nucleotides) under Triticum aestivum (bread wheat). Its description in RNAcentral is "partial small subunit ribosomal RNA". The record is from RNAcentral. Lineage: Eukaryota; Viridiplantae; Streptophyta; Magnoliopsida; Poales; Poaceae.